UACGUAGGUGGCGAGCGUUGUCCGGAUUUACUGGGCGUAAAGGGCGUGCAGGCGGUUUGUUAAGUGCAGGGUGAAAGCUCCCGGCUCAACUGGGAGAGGUCCUUGCAUACUGGCGAACUCGAGGGAGGCAGAGGAAAGUGGAAUUCCCGGUGUAGUGGUGAUAUGCGUAGAGAUGGGGGAGAACACUCGUGGCGAAGGCGGCCAGCUAGACCAGUUCUGACACUGAGGCGCGACAGCGUGGGGAGCAAACAGG
Molecule: ribosomal RNA, 253 nt
Filed under: uncultured bacterium
Lineage: Bacteria
Description: partial 16S ribosomal RNA
Rfam family: Bacterial small subunit ribosomal RNA
Source: RNAcentral